This is a long non-coding RNA of Eriocheir sinensis (Chinese mitten crab), 694 nucleotides long. RefSeq lists it as uncharacterized. The record is from RefSeq and is a predicted model, not a curated record. Lineage: Eukaryota; Metazoa; Arthropoda; Malacostraca; Decapoda; Varunidae. The transcript is spliced from 3 exons.
CUCAUCGUGUUCAGCUUAUUCUGUGGAGAGAGAGAGAGAGAGAGAGAGAGAGAGAGAGAGAGAGAGAGAGAGAGAGAGAGAGAGAGAGAGAGAGACUAUACGCUUGCUACCAUGGAGAACGACUACCCGCAUCUGGAACCCUCUCUUUUACCUGACGCUUUACCGGACAUCAAUUACCUCUGCCAAAGCUAUCUGCCAGACUGCCACCAAAGCAAUCCUGAGAACUUUGGCUACCACGACACUGCACGACUCUCAUCACCACUGCCACCAUCAUGCAACUACGCUCAGGAGGUUAACUUCGACCCCGGUGCUUCAUGUCUCCCUACACCUGGGCAGCCGUGGGAAAUCACAAACUUUCAUCCAGCCUAUGAUAAAACCAAUCAUCAGGUCCCCACCCCCGUAACUGCCAGCACCACUACCAGCAACGAGUGGGAAAUGUUCACGCAAACACAAUUCAUCUGUGGGGAAGAUGAAACAGGAGGAGGAAGAGGAGCAUUGAGAGGAGAGGAAAUGGAAGAAGAUACGCAGUUUUUCCCACAAGAUGAUUUAUUUUCAUGUGCAAACUCUUCCUCUUCGUCAUCCGGUACUUUCUCAUCCCAUUACUUUCCUAAGAAGGAGAAAGAGAAGAUGGAACUGAACGAUGUAUUGAAGAGCUUAACAGAAACAGAUCUGUAUGAGCAGUAUAUGCCUUUCA